GAGCCGAUGAAAGCCGAAGUGCCGCAGUAGCGAGCGGAGCCGAGUUUAGCCCAAGUUCCGAAGGUUGCCGAGGUUACACGAACCCGUCCGGCUCCACCCAGCGCAGCAGCCGAACCGAGCCGGGUUCAGCCGAACCGAGUCAUUCAAACAGCAUAAACAAACCCUCAGAGUCUCAGGAGCACGCCCAGCACAGUUGCUGGAUCUCUUGGAUGCUGUGCAGAAUGGAAUCAGGCAGCCAGAGCUCAGAUUCACCUUCUCCCUGACCCUCUGCAUUGCUUAGUGGCACAGUAGAUGCUGAAGCCAGGGGAGAACAUGUACACACAGGUAAAGAGAUUCCUUCUGUCACACCAGUAUUUGGACCUGAGGAAAGUACCAGAUUUUUUUCCAGCUUUUCGACAGUUUUGAUUUUGAGUACAAAACAGAGCGUGAGUGGAUCCUCAGAUUUCUUGGGGAGGGGCUGCAUGACAAACAUUGCUACGAGCUUUAUGACUAGAGGAUUUUCCAAAUAAUUCUUUCCUUUUUCACCAGUCUAUUGUGUGAUGGGGGCUCCCAGGUAAGACUUUAAAAAGAAAGCACCAAAAAACCCCAAACCACAGAAGCUUGCAUGGCUUUGAGAUCUCAAGUACAAAAAGAAAGGAGCAGCUGACUCUGCCUUUACUCUCUAGAGAAUCUGUUCCUUGUUGAAUUUUUGUAUGUGUGGAGGGGGAAAUAAUUGCUUGUGUCUAAAGCAGUCCCAUCCUUAUCCCCCUAAACUGGAACAUGUUCCUGCCAUCCUGGAGCCUCAUGUGGCUGCCGUGGUUCUGCUCCUAGUCAGGGCCUUUUGUUUUUUGGGGGUCUCUAUUCCCUGACCAGCACAUUUGUUACCUGAGCAGUGCUUCAGCAGGAGGGAAACUCACGUGCCAGGACCUCUCGCGUUUGGGAGCAUCCACCCUGAGUAUUUCAGGGAUCAAAACCUUGGACAGAAAGAUAAAAUUGUCUUGCUACCUGAAGAGUUCUUUUAAGAGUAGCACCUGUGGCAUGAAGCUUUGACUGGAGCAUGUCUCUCCUUCCCUGGUGUUGCUGAGAACAUGUAAUGUUCAUUUUACCUUGAAGUUGAUCAGAUUGCAGUCAGAUUUCUAAUUCUGAGUUAGAGCGUUAGAUCUGCACUGUCAAAGAACAAGUUACAUUUUCUGUUUCAGUGUCGUAUCUUGGCGAUAUUACAAAGUGCUGCCCGUGUCACCAGAGCUGCUGCCCAUGAGCUGAUCCAGGAUCACAGCCUCCUCACGUGGCUCCUGCACAGCUUAGAGAAAAGGUUUCUGGAAAACAAGGUGAUAAAAUAAUUUCCUUACUCCAUACUCUGUGGCUAACAAAUUUAGGAGACAAGAGAGAAAACAAGAAUCAAUCGCAGGAGAAGAGGAAACUUCUUCCUAUUCAGCUUGUAAAUGAAUUUCUGUAUGUUUUGGUCAGGUUGAUCAAACAUAUUGGUAAUUCCUUUGUCUUGUUUUUUGUUUCAGUUGUUUUGCAUUUCAUCUUCUGUCCAGCUGGAGCUUUAUUAAGGCCAGGAGGAAUUCUUUUUCUCUGCUGUUCUUGUAUUCCUGACUUCCAUUUACAAGGGGAACACAUGGCUCGGAGCUCAGGAGCUGGAUCUGUUACUGUCCCACUGGUCUGCACUAGUGCAGGUGAUGAAUUACGGGAUAGCUUGGGAACUUGGAAACAAGGAGAAGAAAUUAUUACAUCUCUUUGCAAAAAGAUUUGGCUACAUCAGGGCAUUAAUUCAGGGAACUAACACUUCAUCUUCAACAUUCUGUGCUCUGCCAUCAUCACUGUGAGCCCUGGAAGCCUCCUGAGCUGUUCUCAUACAGACCUAACUUGUUUGGUCAAAAAAUUUUAAUCACUGUGUGGGAACUCAGGGGGAUGAUCUUAUUCAACCUCCCUCAGUGGGACAUUAAAGCUCCACUUCCCAUUUUCUUGAACAGUCUGAGACACAAUAUUACUUUGUAUCAUUUUUAUUACAGGCAUUUUUAACUUUUUGAAGAACCAGAAAGACUGUUGGCGCAUAUGUGUGUCAUUAAUAUCCAUCCUCUCUCCAGAGUAGGAUGGGAAAAAAGGCUGCAGAGCUUCCUACAAGGGGCUGCAAGUGCAAAUAACGAGGAGCCAGAGGUUUAGUCAUGAUGAUUUACUAUUUCUUAAAAGAACCUGGUAGAUUUCAUGAUAGCAAAACCAGUGUGAAUAGAAGACUGAACUUGGGAAUCACGAUAGUCUCCUUGGGUUUAAAAAGCUUUAGUGGUUUUUAAAGACAUUUAUAUCAGAUCUGCUUUAUUUUAAUUUUAAAAAUAGCCUUGAUCCAUCACUGCUGCUGUGAUGUGUGACAAAAGGCCAUCUUCCCUCCGCUUGGAACAGGUGAGAGAUGGAGCUAAACCCCAAAGGAUUUUCUGCUCACCGAUUAUACCUGGGUUUUAUUGGGAAUUCUCUGCAAAAUCUGAUCAAUUGUUCUUGAAUGUGGCCGUGAGGGGAGGCGAACGUGCCAGCCCAGACCUGCAAACAGGCAGUGCCAGACCAAGAACCUUUGAAAUGUAAACCAGGAUUUAUUCAAUGACUCAGGAGUGCGUGCUGUACCCAGGUCCUCUGUACAAAUAUGGUACAGGGAAAAGCCAGAACUGCACAUUCCUUGUGAUAUGAAUUGAAUUUUGGGGGUGUCAAAUAAAAAUGAGAUGCAAAUGA
Catharus ustulatus (Swainson's thrush) is the source of this 2700-nucleotide long non-coding RNA. RefSeq lists it as uncharacterized. The transcript has 6 exons. The record is from RefSeq and is a predicted model, not a curated record. Lineage: Eukaryota; Metazoa; Chordata; Aves; Passeriformes; Turdidae.